GAUGAACGCUGGCGGCGUGCCUAAUACAUGCAAGUCGAGCGAACAGAUAAGGAGCUUGCUCCUUUGACGUUAGCGGCGGACGGGUGAGUAACACGUGGGUAACCUACCUAUAAGACUGGAAUAACUCCGGGAAACCGGGGCUAAUGCCGGAUAACAUGUUGAACCGCAUGGUUCUACAGUGAAAGGCGGCUUUGCUGUCACUUAUAGAUGGACCCGCGCCGUAUUAGCUAGUUGGUGAGGUAACGGCUCACCAAGGCAACGAUACGUAGCCGACCUGAGAGGGUGAUCGGCCACACUGGAACUGAGACACGGUCCAGACUCCUACGGGAGGCAGCAGUAGGGAAUCGUCCGCAAUGGGCGAAAGCCUGACGGAGCAACGCCGCGUGAGUGAUGAAGGUCUUCGGAUCGUAAAACUCUGUUAUUAGGGAAGAACAAAUGCGUAAGUAACUGUGCGCGUCUUGACGGUACCUAAUCAGAAAGCCACGGCUAACUACGUG
RNAcentral lists this ribosomal RNA (497 nucleotides) under uncultured bacterium. RNAcentral describes it as "partial 16S ribosomal RNA". It matches the Rfam family "Bacterial small subunit ribosomal RNA", at positions 28 to 507 of the family's 1533-position model. The record is from RNAcentral.